This 594-nucleotide ribosomal RNA is filed under the name Plocamium lyngbyanum. RNAcentral's name for it is "eukaryotic LSU rRNA". It matches the Rfam family "Eukaryotic large subunit ribosomal RNA", at positions 262 to 919 of the family's 3401-position model. The record is from RNAcentral. Lineage: Eukaryota; Rhodophyta; Florideophyceae; Plocamiales; Plocamiaceae.
GAGUCGGGUAGCUUGGGAAUGCUGCUCUAAUUGGUGGUAAAUCUCAUCAAAGGCUAAAUAAAGGUGGGAGACCGAUAGUAAACAAGUACCGUGAGGGAAAGAUGACAAGCACUUUGAAAAGAGGGUGAAAAGAACCUGAAACCGUUACGGGGGAAGCGGAUUGCGUUGGAUUGAUGGGCGUUUGUGUGUUCAGCCAUGAACUUUGUUCUAGGUGCAUUGAUGCAAAUUGCUUAUCCGUCGUGGGUUUUCGGCAAUCGAAUUUGGGUUGCUGGAGGCUGAGGGCUCCCCUUUUAGGGUAUUGAGGACGGCGGAGUGACGACGCGAUACGACCCGUCUUGAAACACGGACCAAGGAGUCUAGCGCGGGUGCGAGUCGAAGGGUUUGAAAACCUGUGGGCGAAGUGAAAGCGAGUUUUGAUUCUAAAACUAGCAGUUUGAGGCGGCAUAGAAUCGUUGAUUCUAGGUCCGACCUGGAGCAGUUGCGCUGGGACCCGAAAGAUGGUGAACUAUGCCGGAGUAGGGCAAAGCCAGAAGAAAUUCUGGUGGAGGCUCGUAGAGGUGCUGACGUGCAAAUCGCUCGUCAAACUUGGGUAUA